Non-coding RNA from Acanthosepion pharaonis, 114 nucleotides. The record is from the annotation of a GenBank genome assembly. Lineage: Eukaryota; Metazoa; Mollusca; Cephalopoda; Sepiida; Sepiidae.
UUACGGCCAUAUCACGUUGAAACACAGGUUCUCGUACGAUCACCGAAGUUGCGCAACUUCCAGCUUGGUCAGUACCUAGAUGGGUGACCGCAAAUGAAUACCAGGUGCUGUAAG